This 443-nucleotide ribosomal RNA is filed under the name uncultured bacterium. Its description in RNAcentral is "partial 16S ribosomal RNA". It matches the Rfam family "Bacterial small subunit ribosomal RNA", at positions 338 to 795 of the family's 1533-position model. The record is from RNAcentral.
CCUACGGGAGGCAGCAGUGGGGAAUAUUGGGCAAUGGGCGCAAGCCUGACCCAGCAACGCCGCGUGAAGGAAGAAGGCUUUCGGGUUGUAAACUUCUUUUCUCAGGGACGAAGCAAGUGACGGUACCUGAGGAAUAAGCCACGGCUAACUACGUGCCAGCAGCCGCGGUAAUACGUAGGUGGCAAGCGUUAUCCGGAUUUACUGGGUGUAAAGGGCGUGUAGGCGGGGACGCAAGUCAGAUGUGAAAACCACGGGCUCAACCUGUGGCCUGCAUUUGAAACUGUGUUUCUUGAGUACUGGAGAGGCAGACGGAAUUCCUAGUGUAGCGGUGAAAUGCGUAGAUAUUAGGAGGAACACCAGUGGCGAAGGCGGUCUGCUGGACAGUAACUGACGCGGAGGCGCGAAAGCGUGGGGAGCAAACAGGAUUAGAUACCCGGGUAGUC